GACCCCUGAGAGAUGAUCAGGUAGAUAGGUUGGAAGUGGAAGGCCAGUGAUGGUUGGAGCGGACCAAUACUAAUCGGUCGAGGACUUAACCAA
This 93-nucleotide ribosomal RNA is filed under the name Enterococcus larvae. RNAcentral's name for it is "Enterococcus sp. BWM-S5 partial 23S ribosomal RNA". It matches the Rfam family "Bacterial large subunit ribosomal RNA", at positions 2832 to 2925 of the family's 2925-position model. The record is from RNAcentral. Lineage: Bacteria; Bacillati; Bacillota; Bacilli; Lactobacillales; Enterococcaceae.